CAAAAAGUAAUACAUUAACAUUUGUGAAUUUCAUGAUGGAUAUCAUUUGUACUAAAAUAUACAGGAAUCAUACAGGGACGGAUUCAGACAUUUGGUGCAUGUGGGGGCUAAAAUCUAGCUAAGUUGCUAACACUUGCAUUUGCUAUCGACAAAAGCAAAACCAACUUCAAAAGCUUACAAAUCAUAGCAAAUGUGUUGCACUUAUUUGUUUUCACAAGUUUUGCACAAGGUUGUUGACUUAUUGGUCUUAUUCUAAACAUAUUAUGUUUUAUUUAUAAGGGGUAAUAAUUAUUUUGGUCCCUGAAGGUGUAAGGAGUAACAAUAAUAGUCCCUCAAUGUAUCAAAAUUUUAAAAUAGUCAUUGAUUAUGCACUUUGCUAGUCAAAAUAGUCCCGAUAACAUUAAAAUAAUUUGUUAAUAUUGUCAUAUUAGUCUUUUAAU
RNAcentral lists this long non-coding RNA (440 nucleotides) under Medicago truncatula (barrel medic). RNAcentral's name for it is "lncRNA gene49960". Lineage: Eukaryota; Viridiplantae; Streptophyta; Magnoliopsida; Fabales; Fabaceae. The record is from RNAcentral.